UAUUUUACGAGUGAAACUCAACUUGUCAAAUCUGAGUUCGUGUAACUGAUAAUAAUUUAGAAAUGCCUAUCAGGAAGGCUUUUGAGUGGCAUGUGACACCAAAUAGAUCUGAUUAUUGAUUAUUUCUCUGUUCCCACCGCCAUGCCAAACCAAUCAAGUUUACACUCAACAUACAUAUUUUGCUUCAGCAAACAAAAUUAGAAGGAAAUAUCAUGCAGAUAAUCAAGUGAAAAUUCACAAAACACAAGCUAAGGACGUCAACUCGAACAGAA
RNAcentral lists this unclassified non-coding RNA (272 nucleotides) under Hevea brasiliensis (rubber tree). Lineage: Eukaryota; Viridiplantae; Streptophyta; Magnoliopsida; Malpighiales; Euphorbiaceae. The record is from RNAcentral.